UUUUUGUCGUCCUGUCUCCUGCUCAGCUCUUUUAUUUGCCUCCCUCGACUCACCUUUGUUUUCGGUUCUGCCCUCAGGCAAGCGGUCUCUACCCCUCUCCCGCACGUGACGCGGCCUCCGCCUCCGCCUCUCAGUUCCCCCUCCCACCUCACCCUUCCUCCCGCCUCAGCCUCUAGGCUGGUCCGGGCCGAGCCGCCAUUUUGUGUCAAUUCCUGAUUGCGGCGGGGGCCGGGCAGCCGGGAGACCAGUGGCGGGCAGACAAGGGAGACAGUCGGCCCGUCUCCGCGGCCCGUUCCCUCUCUCCCUUCAAUCCUUUUUUUCUUUUUAACCCUUCCACCCCCUUCGCUGGCUCUCCUCUUCUCCCCUUACCCUUCGCUUGCUCCAUCGCGCGCGGCCCGCGCUAAUUACACCCAACCACCCACCAGUGUCCGAGUCUCCCGGGUCUCCCGCCCCCGGGCCCGCGGGGGUGUGGGGGGGGCUCUCGCCCCUAUGAGGGCCCCGCGCCAGUAAGCGAGUGACCGCAGGGGUGGGCUGCGGAGAAAGCAGGCGGCGAGCGGCCCUCCGAGGCCUAGGCCGCGCGGCCUAAGCGGAGGUCAGCGCAGAGGAACUAUGGAGGCCGCGCCCGGGACCCCCCCGCCGCCGCCAUCAGAGUCGCCGCCGUCGCCAUCGCCGCCGCCGCCAUCAACGCCUUCGCCUCCUCCGUGUUCCCCCGACGCCCGCCCGGCUACCCCGCACCUCCUCCACCACCGCCUCCCGCUCCCUGACGACAGGUCAGGCCCCCGGCCGGGCCGGGGCUGCGUCCCCGGGGGGAGGAAGAGGAGGAGGAGGAAGGGGGGCGGCCGCCAUGUUGGGCCGGGCCGCGGAGGAGGAGGAGGAGGAGGAGGAGGAAGGGCGGGGUCGGUGGGUGUCUCUCGAUCGCUUGCUCGCUCGCUCUUUCUCGCUUGCUUUCUCUCCUGGCCUCAUGCGUUUCCCCCCCCUCGCGGCGUUCGCCCGCUCUCCCUCGCUCUCGCUCUGUCUUUUUUGGGCGCCAUGCUGAGGGGAAGACCAUACUUUGCCUUUUAAAAGAAAUGCCACCCACAUUCAGAGACACAAGUGCAGCAGUUUGGUGAGCUUUUUACAACAUUUGUUUUUUUCUGUUUUGUUCUAAUUAAAUGUAUCGUCCUGGGAAUCGCAGCCCAUCGCAGCCCGACUCCAAGGAAAUAAACAGAUUAGCAAAGGUCUGUUCGCAAAGCCCUCGUUGGGCUUCCGGGCCCCCUCUCCGGGGGCAGGUGCAUUACUCAAAGGUGCUUACACGCUUUAUUCGACCUCUAAGGAGUUCUCUUAUGUCAGAAGUGUAUGUCUUACAAUGGGUUGGGAUGGUAAGUAGCCUCUUUUAUUGAGUAAUUCAAUGAUCUCCCUCUUUUUCUCCCUUUCCUGCCUGCCUUCCUCCUCGCCUUUAGACCAAAGUGAUGCUUGAGAGAGUGAGUUGAUAUGUUCGAAUCAGGAUUCUAACCCUGUUGAGCCCUUUUAGACUUGCACAUCCUUUCAAUGUUUAAUUUUUAAAAUUUUACGUACACAGUUUUCUCCAAAAAAAAAAAAAAAGUGUGUUACUGUAACAUGACAAAAAUCGAUAUAAAAGGCCCGUAUGUUUUCGGACUCUUGGCAUCCCUCUUUCCAUUUCAAUCCAUUGCUUUGUCUCCAGCCUUCAUCUCUGAAAAGAGUGGAUACUUCAAGUCCAUUUGUAGGAGACAAGCUUACUGAAUUUGAUUUAUGAUACAUGUAUUCAAGUUAAUGGUUUCCCUCCCUCCCUGCCCCCCAGAAAAGAUUGGUUCAAGUAGCUCCAAUUUUCUCAUUUUACUCCAAUGUCUCUUGUGGUGAUGGACGUUAAAAUUGAGCAAGUCAUUUGUAAAGUACUGUUGAAGCACAAAAUCUGUAAACUGUGUCAAGCCCCCAUCUCUGCCCGUCUCCACUGCUCCUUUGUUCGAAAGCACAUGUCUGACUGUGAAAAGUUGAUGCAAACGUGUUACACGCCCAGUCAUGUUGGAGGGAACACCUCCUCCAGCCCCCAGUCCCCCCGGCCUACACGUAACAAGGAAAAAACAGAAACAGAAAUGACUUGCAGAACCAAACACCGUACUUCUGAUGUGUUUUACAAGCAUAAGUUCCGUUAAAAGACAAAACACGUUGAAGUUGCAUUUUCCCUCUUUCCCACUUUUGAUCCCUGACAUACUUUGAGAGAGAACCCUGGCCCUCUCCAAAAGAGCCGUUUCCUUUUUUUCCUUCUUAAAAGGAAAAAAGGUCACGCACAUGUAGAUGAGGAAACUGCAAUUCAGUAGGCCACUUGUUUUCUUCCUCUUAAUAUGUUCACAACUGCCAUGGAGUGGUGAUCCUUAGUAUGUAAAAUCAGUUAUGGGAGGAAGAAAUCUCCAAACUCUACAGUAUCCUGCAAAAAAUGUCUGAAGCACAAACCGAACAAACACAUUAUCCAGGGCACUGGGUCAGCCCGAAAUGAAUUGCAUUUAUUUGAAGUUUCCCAUCCUUUAUAAAAUUCCUUCUCCAGGAGCUGAGAACAGAAAUUGGAUGACUGAUGACCCAAGUUCCAAAGGCUACUAAGUUGCUUAUUUAAACUGACUUUUAAAAAGAAACGUUAAGGAAAUGAGAUUUUUUUUGUAAGUGAAAUUUUUAGCAAUCAUUCAGUGAAUUUGAAACUAUUUCCCCAAGCAUUUAAAAAACUCACAGGCAUAUCAACACAAGGGUUUAUUGUUUUCUGUUCUCAAAGGAAUCUCAUCCCGAGAAGCCCCAGUAAUUAAGUCAAAAACUAUUUGGUUAAUCUUUGUUUUUGAAAUGUCACAGUACUGCCUUUUUUUCCCCCCAAACUGAUGUACCAGUAUUAGUUAAAAAUCAAAUUAAUGGAUGUUGCAAAAAAAAAAAGAAAGAAAAGGGUGUCACUCAGAAUCCCUGAUUUAACAACCAAUCUUAUUAUACACUUAUAACCUUUUACAUUUUUAUUUUCUCUGGGUGAGAGAUUUAACUUAAAAGCAAAUCAAAGUCUCCUAGUAGAAAAAAGUCGAUUUUGACCAUGGAAAUAUGGAUGUUCUGGUCAUAAAGCCCCUUUAUUUUUUUAAUUCUUCUCAAAUUUGCUCUUUAAAAGAAAAAAAAAAAUGUGAUUCCCCAAAAGGAGUAAUUCACAGCCUGUCCUCUCCCCCCGGUACAAUUUUGUUGUGCUCUGAAGGUUUAAAUUUUUGAUUUCUUUUUAAGCCAUAGUUUUCUCUAAGUAGAGCCAGCUAUUUUAGCCACUACUGUGGUUUUUCCACAGCCAGGAAGGCUGAUCCCAAGGGAAAAUUGUUUUGUACCUGUGGACCUGGCUGUUCAACUGCCUGGCAAAUUUAAGAUGAACGGUUUUGACUCUUGUGUUUCUAUAUAGUUGAAUGUAGAGCUAUUGCAUGUUGGACUUGCUUAGUAAUUUAUUUGACGGUGCUUCCACCUCUGCUUCUUGCUCUUAGAUCUUUUACCUUCUUCCAUGAUGGGAGAGAAAUGGCUGUCUGAGGAUCCACUUCCUUUUGUUACUUUUUUUUUUUUUUUUUUGAGACGGAGUCUCACGCUGUUGCCCAGGCUGGAGUGCAGUGGCGCGAUCUCGGCUCACUGCAAGCUCCGCCUCCCGGGUUCCCGCCAUUCUCCUGCCUCAGCCUCCUGAGUAGCUGGGACUACAGG
Molecule: long non-coding RNA, 3690 nt
Filed under: Macaca fascicularis (crab-eating macaque)
Lineage: Eukaryota; Metazoa; Chordata; Mammalia; Primates; Cercopithecidae
Description: lncRNA (ENSMFAG00000056950.1)
Source: RNAcentral